This 252-nucleotide long non-coding RNA is filed under the name Malus domestica (apple). RNAcentral describes it as "long non-coding RNA (MDOM_LNC018323)". Lineage: Eukaryota; Viridiplantae; Streptophyta; Magnoliopsida; Rosales; Rosaceae. The record is from RNAcentral.
GAAUGAUUGAAUCUAUUCACUUUAUAGUUUACAAUAAACUUAGUGAAAUCAUCCGAGAGAGAUGCAAGGAAAAAGUCUUGGGCCAUUUUCCCAUCGAUGGAAGUUCCUAAACUUUUAAGAUCUUUAAAUAUCUUUUCCAUCUUUUGUCCAUGUUUAUGAACCGAUGCCCCCUUUGCCAUCUUGGCAUUCAUUAGACUACAAACAUUUGAGAAUCGUACAUUACUAGUCUCAUUGUCAUGCAUCUUAUGCAAA